RNAcentral lists this ribosomal RNA (407 nucleotides) under uncultured bacterium. RNAcentral describes it as "partial 16S ribosomal RNA". It matches the Rfam family "Bacterial small subunit ribosomal RNA", at positions 30 to 526 of the family's 1533-position model. The record is from RNAcentral.
AUUGACCGCUGGCGGCAGGCCUAACACAUGCAAGUCGAACGGAGUGGCGGACGGGUGAGUAAUGUCUGGGAAACUGCCUGAUGGAGGGGGAUAACUACUGGAAACGGUAGCUAAUACCGCAUACUAUCAGAUGAGCCUAGGUCGGAUUAGCUAGUUGGUGGGGUAACGGCCUACCAAGGCGACGAUCCGUAACUGGUCUGAGAGGAUGAUCAGUCACACUGGAACUGAGACACGGUCCAGACUCCUACGGGAGGCAGCAGUGGGGAAUCUUGGACAAUGGGCGAAAGCCUGAUCCAGCCAUGCCGCGUGUGUGAAGAAGGUCUUCGGAUUGUAAAGCACUUUAAGUUGUGAGGCGUUACCCGCAGAAGAAGCACCGGCUAACUCCGUGCCAGCAGCCGCGGUAAUUC